Molecule: long non-coding RNA, 2047 nt
Organism: Cygnus atratus (black swan)
Lineage: Eukaryota; Metazoa; Chordata; Aves; Anseriformes; Anatidae
Exons: 3
Source: RefSeq, a predicted model, not a curated record
AUGACAAGCAGUGACCUGGACACCACUUGACUGAGGAAUGCAAGACAGUUUCCUAUCAUAAAAUCUCAUAACAGAUUUUCAACAUGCUUUCAAAAUAAAGAAAUAAAUCCAAAGCACUUAUCGCUUCAGUUCUGCCUCUUUAAUGUGUUGUCUUGCCUUCCUGACCUGUAAUCACAGCAACAAUGCUGGGAGCCAUUAAGAGAACAGCUACAUAGCUCCAUGAUGUCAAGUGCACAGAUCAUUGUUGCAAUUUAAGGACAACUGCUGCCUGCUGCCUAGCUGGUUCUCUGCAGAGGUGACAGCCAACAGGAGGAAUGCUCAGCAUCAUUACCAUCUAUUUUGAUUCGAAGACAUAUGUACAGGGAGACAUCCUUGCCUAACCACUGCUACACAGAGCAAGAUGGAUUUCAUGUCUACCAUAGAGAAAGCUGCCUUUGUCCUGUCUUUAUUCAAGUUGAGUCUGUCCUGACUAUAAUACACUAUGAGAGAAGCAUAGAUUGUAUGAAGUACUUUGGGGCUCAAGGCAUUGAGGGAUCUAUCUCCAUCAACUGAAGAAAUGAUUUCUGGAUAUAAGACAUUUGCUAUUAUUGGAAGACGAACAGAGGGACAGAAUACAGAACCUCUGUAGAAUGAAAAAGCCCAAAGGAGACUGAAACACAGCAUUCCAAAUAAUUUAGGAAAAACAACACUGAGGGCAAACAUUUCCUUUAUAUAACUUGGCAGACCAGUGCUAAAAAAUGAAAUGUGGAUCUCUAGCACUUGGCAACAGCAAACGGCCAAAAAAGGUCCUGUGUGAAUAAUAUGCAGAGCAACUGUGAGUUUUAAUUCAAUUCAUCACAAAAAUUAGGAAAAGAUUUUCUACCUUGCCAAAUUCUGAACUACUUUUCUCAUCUGUUUCUUUUUUUUCUUUUUUGUCUUUUUUUUUCCUAUUUUUUUUUUUUAAAUCAAGCCCUAACAAUUAUUUUUCUAUUACAAAACAUACUAGCAACAUAGAAUUAUUGAUAGUACAAUGCUGGGAAUGUUAUUGACUUAAAAAAAAAAAAAAGACAUCUUAAAAGGCCAAAUCUAAAUGUCUCAUUAAUUUUGUUAGAAGGUAACUUAUCUACAGUGGGUCAGCCUUGGAAUGGCAAGGCUUGGGGGAAGUAAUUUAUCUAUUGCUAUCAAAAGAUCUCUUGUAACACAAAGUUCAGCCAAAUUUAUCUGUCCAUUCAGGUUAUUAUGUCCUGUUUUCUUAACCCAGAAAUUUGCUCAGAGAGCAUUAGCUCACCACCAGCUCCAUAGCCCUUCUCCCAUAGAAGAAAAACUGUAUUUGUAGCAAUUUUUUUUGUGUGAAUUAAAGCUGUGAAGCAAUAUUGGCCUUUUAAGGCCAAAAUAUUAAAGAUUCUGAGCUUGUGUUCCCCUAUCUGGCACCAAAAUACGUACCCAUAUUUUUUGCUCUAAGUCAAAACAUCUGUUGAAAACUGAUAGGUAUCAGUAGACGAGAAGUGGUCAUUCUUAAUGCCAUUGAUAAUAAGAGGAUAAUAGACAAUAAAAACUGUCAGUGAAGUUACAAAUAAUGAAAGCACUGAAUCAGAUAAAUAGGAACUGGCGAAACUCACUUAGUAAACCAAACCAUGCCUGGAAAUCUUGGGGGAGAAUUCUAGGUGGAGCAGAUCAAAUCCUUGACACAGAUCCUGUUAGUGGUUUGCCAGUACUGCCUAUCUGGAGCCAAGGACCAAGCACAGGCUUUGGCAAUGCUCAGCUUCCUAGCAUAGUUAAGCUUCAUGUGAGGUGCCAGCAAUGACCCAGAUACAGUCACCUUCAAACAACUUCCUAGUUUAUUUAUUCUGAGUGAUCACAAUGCUUUACAAAUUGCUUGCAACAACAAAGAAAAAUGUCUUGUUGAAUCAAGUUGUCCGAAGAGAAGAUGUUGUAGGUUCUCCCUACUGCAUGCAGUACAGCCAGGCCUUAGCAGAGAGUUUGAAGAACUGCUGACAGUGGACCUGUAGCAGCAGAAGACUAGGUUUUGGAGAGUGUGAGUUGCCUCUACCUUGAAACAAAAAUGGCU